This is a long non-coding RNA of Engraulis encrasicolus (European anchovy), 294 nucleotides long. RefSeq lists it as uncharacterized. The record is from RefSeq and is a predicted model, not a curated record. Lineage: Eukaryota; Metazoa; Chordata; Actinopteri; Clupeiformes; Engraulidae. The transcript is spliced from 3 exons.
CACAAACGCGGACGCGCCGUAAAAUCUAACGGACGUUGGUACAGUUUUUGUUGGGGCAGACACGACCGAACAGCGCUCUCCAUAAACCGGUGGAAUUACCUCUGGGUCGGACAGGGCUAGCCAGCUACCCACCCUGCUACGGUGAUGCCCGUCUGCUGCCUCCAGUCCCGGCUGUUACGGACCAAGAAUCGGAGCGCUGGUGUGAUGUUUCCCCGUCGACUGAUCAGGGAAGGGAGGCAGCCACGGCACGCGAUUGUUCAACAUGACAGUGAGCCAGAAAAAUUAUGUCAAGAA